Molecule: long non-coding RNA, 427 nt
Filed under: Phaseolus vulgaris (common bean)
Lineage: Eukaryota; Viridiplantae; Streptophyta; Magnoliopsida; Fabales; Fabaceae
Description: long non-coding RNA (PVUL_LNC000796)
Source: RNAcentral
AAAUCUCCAAUUAAAGCCAGAACAAAUGUGUUCACAAGAGGCAAAGGUGACAGAGAACAGAGAAUCUACCUCUGGUUUGACCCUACAACUCAAUACCACAUAUAUUCAGUGCUAUGGAACAUGUACCAGAUUAUGUAUAUUAAAGUCAGAACUAAAUCUAUGCAAAGCCAAAACUUCACCUGGUUGUAAUUCUCCUAAGCAGAGAAUUCCUGUGAGCUUGACCUCUGCUUCUAUUUUUCCAUCCUGCAAGAAAAUAAAGAAUUAAAGGGACAACCUCCAUUCUUUAUCUGUUGUUGAAUACCAAGGAUUCUUCAAUACCUUAGUUACUUAAUCUUCCACACAGUUUGUGCUAUCUGCAUUGUCUUCUAUGUAAUGCGUUUGUUAUGAUUAUUUCGAUUGAAGCACAUACUUGUUAUCAAUUACAUGN